AGUGAACGCUGGCGGUAGGCCUAACACAUGCAAGUCGAACGGCAGCACAGUAAGAGCUUGCUCUUACGGGUGGCGAGUGGCGGACGGGUGAGGAAUACAUCGGAAUCUACUUUUUCGUGGGGGAUAACGGAGGGAAACUUACGCUAAUACCGCAUACGACCUACGGGUGAAAGCAGGGGAUCUUCGGACCUUGCGCGAUUGAAUGAGCCGAUGUCGGAUUAGCUAGUUGGCGGGGUAAAGGCCCACCAAGGCGACGAUCCGUAGCUGGUCUGAGAGGAUGAUCAGCCACACUGGAACUGAGACACGGUCCAGACUCCUACGGGAGGCAGCAGUGGGGAAUAUUGGACAAUGGGCGAAAGCCUGAUCCAGCCAUACCGCGUGGGUGAAGAAGGCCUUCGGGUUGUAAAGCCCUUUUGUUGGGAAAGAAAAGCAGCAGGUUAAUACCCCGAUGUUCUGACGGUACCCAAAGAAUAAGCACCGGCUAACUUCGUG
Molecule: ribosomal RNA, 492 nt
Filed under: uncultured bacterium
Lineage: Bacteria
Description: partial 16S ribosomal RNA
Rfam family: Bacterial small subunit ribosomal RNA
Source: RNAcentral